RNAcentral lists this transfer RNA (73 nucleotides) under Stegodyphus mimosarum. It matches the Rfam family "tRNA". From Rfam's summary of the family: Transfer RNA (tRNA) molecules are approximately 80 nucleotides in length. The record is from Rfam by way of RNAcentral. Lineage: Eukaryota; Metazoa; Arthropoda; Arachnida; Araneae; Eresidae.
GCCUUCGUGGUGUAACUGGAAGCAUACUCGACUCGUAUUCGAGAGGUCCGAGAUUCGAGUCCUGGCUAGGGCU